This 465-nucleotide ribosomal RNA is filed under the name Vreelandella stevensii. RNAcentral describes it as "partial 16S ribosomal RNA". It matches the Rfam family "Bacterial small subunit ribosomal RNA", at positions 338 to 795 of the family's 1533-position model. The record is from RNAcentral. Lineage: Bacteria; Pseudomonadati; Pseudomonadota; Gammaproteobacteria; Oceanospirillales; Halomonadaceae.
CCUACGGGUGGCAGCAGUGGGGAAUAUUGGACAAUGGGGGCAACCCUGAUCCAGCCAUGCCGCGUGUGUGAAGAAGUCCCUCGGGUUGUAAAGCACUUUCAGUGAGGAAGAACGCCUGGUGGUUAAUACCCAUCAGGAAAGACAUCACUCACAGAAGAAGCACCGGCUAACUCCGUGCCAGCAGCCGCGGUAAUACGGAGGGUGCGAGCGUUAAUCGGAAUUACUGGGCGUAAAGCGCGCGUAGGUGGCUUGAUAAGCCGGUUGUGAAAGCCCCGGGCUCAACCUGGGAACGGCAUCCGGAACUGUCAAGCUAGAGUGCAGGAGAGGAAGGUAGAAUUCCCGGUGUAGCGGUGAAAUGCGUAGAGAUCGGGAGGAAUACCAGUGGCGAAGGCGGCCUUCUGGACUGACACUGACGCUGAGGUGCGAAAGCGUGGGUAGCAAACAGGAUUAGAUACCCCAGUAGUC